UACGGAGGGUGCAAACGUUGCUCGGAAUCAUUGGGCGUAAAGCGCGCGUAGGCGGUCCGGAAAGUCGGGUGUGAAAUCCCUCGGCUCAACCGAGGAAGUGCAUUCGAAACUGCAUCGCUGGAGUCUCGGAGAGGAAGGUGGAAUGCUUGGUGUAGAGGUGAAAUUCGUAGAUAUCAAGCAGAACACCUGCGGCGAAGGCGGCCUUCUGGACGAUGACUGACGCUGAGACGCGAAAGCGUGGGGAGCAAACAGG
RNAcentral lists this ribosomal RNA (253 nucleotides) under uncultured bacterium. RNAcentral describes it as "partial 16S ribosomal RNA". It matches the Rfam family "Bacterial small subunit ribosomal RNA", at positions 524 to 776 of the family's 1533-position model. The record is from RNAcentral.